Molecule: long non-coding RNA, 1214 nt
Organism: Telopea speciosissima
Lineage: Eukaryota; Viridiplantae; Streptophyta; Magnoliopsida; Proteales; Proteaceae
Exons: 2
Source: RefSeq, a predicted model, not a curated record
CCAUUUGGAAGCCAUAGGUUGAAUAGACUCCUGUUACUCCUCUUCAUCCAUGGGUUAUGCACUUGCAAAGAUACAACCGUUGGUCCAUUAUUACCUAUUAUUUAACCAUCUUGAAUCAUUCCGCUCAGGAAGGAGGACAUGAAUCUUUCAAUUGCUUUUACUCCUAAAAUUCAAUUACCUUACAUGUAGCAUUGCUCUGGCUGAGAUGAUUAUUGCCUGAAAUGGCUUAUCUUGGGGUACCUUUCAGCUUCCAAUGUUUCAAAUGGUAUCCUGGGUGUGUCAGGAAUUUUGACACCAUUAAUAAUUAUCUAAAAAACAAAAGAAAAAAUUGGAAUCCCAUAUGCCAUCUUGAUGUUCUGAUGGCCGUCUUGACAUUUUUCUUCUGGGCUCUCCAAUCAUUAUGUGAAGAGGGGGGCAAGAUGUUUGGCGUUUUGGAUGUCCCAAAUGCCAUUGCGGACUCUGUCCCAACACCCCAUGAAACUAAUGCGGCCAGGAGAUAGCCCUUGAGAGAAAUAAGGUGACCAACUUGACAUCCUUAAAAGUGCAAAAUUUUGCACCAUCUUAUUCUGCUUGAAAUUUAUUUAUUUUGUCUCGUUGUCACCACAGAUUUACUUUAGGUUGGUGUUGCAUUUUAUUGUUGUGCUGACACUUUUACGUCAAAGUUUGUCUUCACUUCUGCCAUUAUCUUAUCCAUUAGCAUCACACAUUAUCUCCAUGUUUGUUUCAUGGAGAGUAUAAGAAUGGAACGUUUUUCUCUGCCUCUUUAUUGGUUGGUUGGGUGACAUAAACAGCUUGAUCACAACUAAGAUGCCCAACAACAAUGGAGCAUCCUUAGUGGGAGAUAAAGAAUGGGUUUGUGUUUUUCAAGAAGGCAAAGGAUUCUGCCCCUAGCAAGGAAAUACCAUCGCUGCAGCUUAUCAAUCAAACACUCUGUUAUGCCAGAGAACUGGAGCGGAUAGUAUGAAAGUUAUUGAGUCCAUGGUAUACUAUGCUCCCUUCAGAGAACAACCUAUAACAAUAUUUAAGCCCCUGUCACCGAUGGAAGUUUAUCAUAUUUUUCAUGCUUUGCUUUUAUUUCAAUUGUAUUUGGAGUUGCUUGACUAUAAAGCUUAAGAUGAUCAAAAGAGGGAAAACUGUUGGAUUGACAGUUACACUCUAAUUGAUUACUUCAACUUGCAUUCCUAAUCUUUCCAGCUCUCUUUUCUCUCUCAAUA